UUAAGCGACUAAGCGUACACGGUGGAUGCCCUGGCAGUCAGAGGCGAUGAAGGACGUGCUAAUCUGCGAUAAGCGUCGGUAAGGUGAUAUGAACCGUUAUAACCGGCGAUUUCCGAAUGGGGAAACCCAGUGUGAUUCGUCACACUAUCAUUAACUGAAUCCAUAGGUUAAUGAGGCGAACCGGGGGAACUGAAACAUCUAAGUACCCCGAGGAAAAGAAAUCAACCGAGAUUCCCCAAGUAGCGGCGAGCGAACGGGGAGCAGCCCAGAGCCUGAAUCAGUGUGUGUGUUAGUGGAAGCGUCUGGAAAGGCGCGCGAUACAGGGUGACAGCCCCGUACACAAAAAUGCACAUGCUGUGAGCUCGAUGAGUAGGGCGGGACACGUGGUAUCCUGUCUGAAUAUGGGGGGACCAUCCUCCAAGGCUAAAUACUCCUGACUGACCGAUAGUGAACCAGUACCGUGAGGGAAAGGCGAAAAGAACCCCGGCGAGGGGAGUGAAAAAGAACCUGAAACCGUGUACGUACAAGCAGUGGGAGCACGCUUAGGCGUGUGACUGCGUACCUUUUGUAUAAUGGGUCAGCGACUUAUAUUCUGUAGCAAGGUUAACCGAAUAGGGGAGCCGAAGGGAAACCGAGUCUUAACUGGGCGUUAAGUUGCAGGGUAUAGACCCGAAACCCGGUGAUCUAGCCAUGGGCAGGUUGAAGGUUGGGUAACACUAACUGGAGGACCGAACCGACUAAUGUUGAAAAAUUAGCGGAUGACUUGUGGCUGGGGGUGAAAGGCCAAUCAAACCGGGAGAUAGCUGGUUCUCCCCGAAAGCUAUUUAGGUAGCGCCUCGUGAAUUCAUCUCCGGGGGUAGAGCACUGUUUCGGCAAGGGGGUCAUCCCGACUUACCAACCCGAUGCAAACUGCGAAUACCGGAGAAUGUUAUCACGGGAGACACACGGCGGGUGCUAACGUCCGUCGUGAAGAGGGAAACAACCCAGACCGCCAGCUAAGGUCCCAAAGUCAUGGUUAAGUGGGAAACGAUGUGGGAAGGCCCAGACAGCCAGGAUGUUGGCUUAGAAGCAGCCAUCAUUUAAAGAAAGCGUAAUAGCUCACUGGUCGAGUCGGCCUGCGCGGAAGAUGUAACGGGGCUAAACCAUGCACCGAAGCUGCGGCAGCGACGCUUAUGCGUUGUUGGGUAGGGGAGCGUUCUGUAAGCCUGCGAAGGUGUGCUGUGAGGCAUGCUGGAGGUAUCAGAAGUGCGAAUGCUGACAUAAGUAACGAUAAAGCGGGUGAAAAGCCCGCUCGCCGGAAGACCAAGGGUUCCUGUCCAACGUUAAUCGGGGCAGGGUGAGUCGACCCCUAAGGCGAGGCCGAAAGGCGUAGUCGAUGGGAAACAGGUUAAUAUUCCUGUACUUGGUGUUACUGCGAAGGGGGGACGGAGAAGGCUAUGUUGGCCGGGCGACGGUUGUCCCGGUUUAAGCGUGUAGGCUGGUUUUCCAGGCAAAUCCGGAAAAUCAAGGCUGAGGCGUGAUGACGAGGCACUACGGUGCUGAAGCAACAAAUGCCCUGCUUCCAGGAAAAGCCUCUAAGCAUCAGGUAACAUCAAAUCGUACCCCAAACCGACACAGGUGGUCAGGUAGAGAAUACCAAGGCGCUUGAGAGAACUCGGGUGAAGGAACUAGGCAAAAUGGUGCCGUAACUUCGGGAGAAGGCACGCUGAUAUGUAGGUGAAGUCCCUCGCGGAUGGAGCUGAAAUCAGUCGAAGAUACCAGCUGGCUGCAACUGUUUAUUAAAAACACAGCACUGUGCAAACACGAAAGUGGACGUAUACGGUGUGACGCCUGCCCGGUGCCGGAAGGUUAAUUGAUGGGGUCAGCGCAAGCGAAGCUCUUGAUCGAAGCCCCGGUAAACGGCGGCCGUAACUAUAACGGUCCUAAGGUAGCGAAAUUCCUUGUCGGGUAAGUUCCGACCUGCACGAAUGGCGUAAUGAUGGCCAGGCUGUCUCCACCCGAGACUCAGUGAAAUUGAACUCGCUGUGAAGAUGCAGUGUACCCGCGGCAAGACGGAAAGACCCCGUGAACCUUUACUAUAGCUUGACACUGAACAUUGAGCCUUGAUGUGUAGGAUAGGUGGGAGGCUUGGAAGUGUGGACGCCAGUCUGCAUGGAGCCGACCUUGAAAUACCACCCUUUAAUGUUUGAUGUUCUAACGUUGACCCGUAAUCCGGGUUGCGGACAGUGUCUGGUGGGUAGUUUGACUGGGGCGGUCUCCUCCUAAAGAGUAACGGAGGAGCACGAAGGUUGGCUAAUCCUGGUCGGACAUCAGGAGGUUAGUGCAAUGGCAUAAGCCAGCUUGACUGCGAGCGUGACGGCGCGAGCAGGUGCGAAAGCAGGUCAUAGUGAUCCGGUGGUUCUGAAUGGAAGGGCCAUCGCUCAACGGAUAAAAGGUACUCCGGGGAUAACAGGCUGAUACCGCCCAAGAGUUCAUAUCGACGGCGGUGUUUGGCACCUCGAUGUCGGCUCAUCACAUCCUGGGGCUGAAGUAGGUCCCAAGGGUAUGGCUGUUCGCCAUUUAAAGUGGUACGCGAGCUGGGUUUAGAACGUCGUGAGACAGUUCGGUCCCUAUCUGCCGUGGGCGCUGGAGAACUGAGGGGGGCUGCUCCUAGUACGAGAGGACCGGAGUGGACGCAUCACUGGUGUUCGGGUUGUCAUGCCAAUGGCACUGCCCGGUAGCUAAAUGCGGAAGAGAUAAGUGCUGAAAGCAUCUAAGCACGAAACUUGCCCCGAGAUGAGUUCUCCCUGACUCCUUGAGAGUCCUGAAGGAACGUUGAAGACGACGACGUUGAUAGGCCGGGUGUGUAAGCGCAGCGAUGCGUUGAGCUAACCGGUACUAAUGAACCGUGAGGCUUAACCUU
RNAcentral lists this ribosomal RNA (2902 nucleotides) under Escherichia coli. Its description in RNAcentral is "bacterial LSU rRNA". It matches the Rfam family "Bacterial large subunit ribosomal RNA". Lineage: Bacteria; Pseudomonadati; Pseudomonadota; Gammaproteobacteria; Enterobacterales; Enterobacteriaceae. The record is from RNAcentral.